UUUAUUUGUUCAAUACAAACAAAAUACUACAAUUAUUCAUUUAUCUGAUGUAAAUAAAUUAUUUGAAGUGCUAAUACCAUAUUUACUUGAAUCAAGAAAUCUUUCUUAUCAAUGUACUUAUAGAAUUAUUUACUCAAGUUAUUUGUUAAACUCACUAUUAUGUUGUGAUAUGCCAAUACAUAAUAGCUGAUAUUUGUUAUUAGUUUUAUUAAAUUUUAGUUAUGUUAGUUUAUAUUAGUUUUUGUAUUUUUUUUUUAUUUUUUAAAACUUUCAAGACUUUCACGUUUUAUAUUUUAACAUUUAAUUAUACAUAUAGAAUCAUCUAUAAGUUUGGAACAUUUUCGUUUUAUAAACACGUAUGAUAAUGAUUUACUCAUGUUUCAAAAAUUUUUCAAAAUUUGUGCAAAUUCAGAAGUUUAUAAAAAUUUAUUUUCUUUUUUCUCUUUUCUUCGUAAACUCCAAAAAUUUCAAAGUUAAAGACAUUUUACAUGAAAAUUGAGUUUAUACAUAAAAAAUUCGAUAUCACAUUGCUAAAAAUUAUUUUAAUCAAGCAAUUUUUUUUUCUCACAAGAGGAACCCUAGAAAUGUUCUUCGAAUUUUUGAUACCAAUUUUUUUAUGAUUCUUGAGGCCAAAAACUUUACUUAUUUUUUCACAAAAGCGUUUUAAAGCUUAGAAAGUCUACUUUAAAAUACUUUUAUAUUAAAUUUUAUUCGAUGAUAUUUCAAUUUCCAGCGCUUUAAAGUAAAACAAAAAUAUUGCAAAAAGUAUUAAUCUUCAAUUUCAUACAGUUUAGAAACAAAAUGUUCUAAAAACAUGUUCUUCCUUCUCAUAGCCUUCCCUCGCGAUACGUAAUAAAGUAUAUUCUCAGUGCGGGAGUAUCGAAAGUGUCGCGCGAUCAUAUUUGAUAAUUAGUGCGCGAGUGAUUGUGUUUUCAUGAGAAAAGACAAUAGACCAACAAUGGAGAAAUGCGAGAGGAGGAGGAGGCCUAGGAGGUAUCAAGCGACAGCGGAGCAACCAUCGGAUUAACACCAGCGUAGUGUGUACAACAACUCCGCUACUGCGCGUCGUGUCGUAUCACCGCAGCUUCAGCAGCAUCGUGACUGAGUAACUCCGCUCAUUGCGCAUCGAGUCGGUGAGUCAAAAACUAAUUUUUUUUAAUUAUAUUCUAAAAUAAGCUUUGCAAAUGUUCUGCGCAGGAUUUUAUUUAUCUUGUAUUUUAUGUACGAUUUUUAUUAAUGAAGUUAAUGUAUUUUACAAUCAAGACUUACUCCACUGCUGUUCGCUAAAAAAUUACAAGAGAAAAAAAUUUAUGCAAAGUUUAUUUUAAGAGCAAGUUUUAGAAUUGUUGUGGAUAUAAUUAGCGAUUUCGAGGCUAUAGCACGGUCCGCGAUAUUGUUUAACUACGUCAUAGUAUAGCUAUUCGCGAAACAUUAGUGAUUCAAAGUUUCAGCGAAUAGUCGCGUCGGGAAUGGUCGCUUCGACCAUGAAUGCACUCGGACAUCGUCAUCGAAAAGUCAUUCGAAUUUAUUCGCGUUAUUCAUGAAAUAUAAUCGGCGCUCGAAAACGUGACAUGUUCUCACGCGCAACGGAUGAAGAUGUGAAUCGCGGUAGAAAGACGAUUUUUUCCACGAAGUGUGGUAGAGUUCGUAGACCACGGUAAAAAGGGCGAUGGUCGCCGACGUCGUUCACGAAACAGGUUCACACUUAACCGGGUCGCCAUUUAGGCCGUCGGUCUGCCAAUUAGUCGCGAGCCUGGUCGGGGAAACACGAAGGGAAUAAACGAGAGGCACAAGCGGCAACUACGUGGCCAUUACGAUGAGUUAAUAAUAAUGAGUUUCAAUAAAGAAAUUGAAAAAAAUCACUUUGUAUGUCAUUCCGCAGAUUUACAAUAGAAUCUUUUUUAAAUCUUGAGAUUUUAUUAAAAGUUAGACACAAUAAUGUAAAUAAAUACGGCAAUCAUGAAUUUUUCAUAGAUACAUGUACAAAACGUGUAACUUCUAUACUACAUGUAAGGAAAAUUAAAUUUACAAUUAGCAUUUGCAACGAAACAUUUAAUUUAGCUUCUUUGCAUGAUCGCUGAUAGAGUCAAGAUUUUGACUUUUAAUUCUUUUGCUAUUCAAGGAGAGUGCGUGUUUUCUUAAUUGAUAUCGAUAUCAAUAUAGUUUAGUUAAUAUUCGCGUAUCAUUUUAACAAACGAAAGAGAGAGAAUGCAAUGUGACCGAUGAAAGGUCGCAAUCAGACAUUCCAGUCGACCAGAGGCAUUUCCGUUUCCCGUUUCACACGACCCGGACAGAAUGUCACCAAUGAACUCGUCUGGCAGAAGGUGAGAAUCCGCCUCGGUGACGUUCUCCGGAUUCCAUCUCGCUCGCGAUUGGCACCUCCUGCCACGCUCGUUACAUUACUUUGUCAGCGUGCAAGAAUAAAGACGCUGUCGCAAUAAGAUUUUUAAUAUAUUCGCUUGCCGACAACGAUUAUCGCCGCACGCGUGCGUUUUCUCUUCCUCAGGCCCGUAUCUGCCUGUCGAGGGCUAUAUCGUGCGUCGCAUGACCGUUUUCGCGGUGCCUGCGACACAGUUAAUUAGUCCCAGUCCCGCGAGGUACGUCGCCCGUUUGCAGAUAUUUAUGUCGGGCCCGCGUCGACUUAAUGCCCUUUAAUAUACGCGCCGAGCCUUCGUCGUCGUCGUCAUCGUCGUCGUCGCGCGCGCGCGCGCGCGAAAUUAGA
This is a long non-coding RNA of Solenopsis invicta (red fire ant), 2722 nucleotides long. RefSeq lists it as uncharacterized. Lineage: Eukaryota; Metazoa; Arthropoda; Insecta; Hymenoptera; Formicidae. The record is from RefSeq and is a predicted model, not a curated record. The transcript has 3 exons.